Long non-coding RNA from Pezoporus occidentalis (night parrot), 885 nucleotides. RefSeq lists it as uncharacterized. The record is from RefSeq and is a predicted model, not a curated record. NCBI's taxonomy places the organism in Eukaryota, Metazoa, Chordata, Aves, Psittaciformes, Psittacidae. The transcript has 3 exons.
GCGGCUCUUGGGCACCUAAAUAGGACAGGUAUGACUUGGUCCCUGGCUCUGUUUAGUGCAUCCCACCCCAUGCACAGGCUUCCGCCUGCUGGGAGGGGCUGUGUCCUUCCAGCAGCCUGCUAACACCCUGCUCCACAGCCAUGAGGAGAUGCAGCAUCACCAGGGAAAUGACUUAGUGUGUGCAUCAGGCUUUCAAAUCUGGGGCAUUCACGUGUGUAAUGUGAAUUCUGGCUUAGGGGAAUGCAGCCUCUGGUUUCAGCCCUGAGAAGUGGAGGUUUCUCUGGAGGAUGGAGGGAGCUCCCCCCCCCCUGCUGGGUGAGCUGAGCUGGGAGUAACCUGCUCUAGUGGAAGGUGUCCGUGCUCAUGGCCGGGGGCUGGAACUGGCAGCUGCACAUCUGUUUCUGAUCAAGCAAUCACUUGAGUGUGAAGCAGAAAGCAGUGAGUGACUUCACUGCUUCCAGCUAGAGCAAGAAAUGGGAAGAGCUGGACCCUGGAAAUAGAAGGAUGUAGACUACGUAUUUUGCCAGUGUCACUGCUAGGGAUGCUUGGGAACUGGAAUGCCGAGGUAUGGAAUGUUUCUGUUCAUUUUCCAGUGUUCACCUGUGCGCAAACCCUCCAAGCCUCCCCUCCAUAAUAUGAUGGGGGUGGGGGGGUAAUCCCCUUUCCCCCACCAGCAUUCCUCAGAGGGCUCUCAUUUAGGAGCAGAUAUGCAGGAACCUGCAGCAGAACUGAGCAUGGGGUUCUCCUGUCCUGCACAGCUGGAGUUAGCAUCACCCAGUAUCUGCCCCAGGGGCACGGAGCCAUUCAGCCGGAAUCUCGGAUCCCCACCUCACAGGACAAGCCUGGUGCAAUCGCUGCUGUCAUUAACCAACAGCCGCAUAUCCA